AGUGAACGCUGGCGGUAGGCCUAACACAUGCAAGUCGAACGGCAGCACAGUAAGAGCUUGCUCUUACGGGUGGCGAGUGGCGGACGGGUGAGGAAUACAUCGGAAUCUACUUUUUCGUGGGGGAUAACGUAGGGAAACUUACGCUAAUACCGCAUACGACCUACGGGUGAAAGCAGGGGAUCUUCGGACCUUGCGCGAUUGAAUGAGCCGAUGUCGGAUUAGCUAGUUGGCGGGGUAAAGGCCCACCAAGGCGACGAUCCGUAGCUGGUCUGAGAGGAUGGUCAGCCACACUGGAACUGAGACACGGUCCAGACUCCCACGGGAGGCAGCAGUGGGGAAUAUUGGACAAUGGGCGCAAGCCUGAUCCAGCCAUACCGCGUGGGUGAAGAAGGCCUUCGGGUUGUAAAGCCCUUUUGUUGGGAAAGAAAAGCAGCAGGUUAAUACCCCGCUGUUCUGACGGUACCCAAAGAAUAAGCACCGGCUAACUUCGUG
Molecule: ribosomal RNA, 492 nt
Filed under: uncultured bacterium
Lineage: Bacteria
Description: partial 16S ribosomal RNA
Rfam family: Bacterial small subunit ribosomal RNA
Source: RNAcentral